This 1947-nucleotide ribosomal RNA is filed under the name human metagenome. Its description in RNAcentral is "bacterial LSU rRNA". It matches the Rfam family "Bacterial large subunit ribosomal RNA", at positions 1 to 1977 of the family's 2925-position model. The record is from RNAcentral.
GUCAAGUACAAAGAGCAUCGGGUGGAUGCCUUGGCACUGGGAGCCGAAGAAGGACGUGAUAAGCUGCGAUAAGCUGCGGUAAGGAGCACAUAUCCGAUAUACCCGCAGAUUUCCGAAUGGGGGAACCCACAUACGGUAAUGCGUAUGUAUCAUUAAGUGAAUACAUAGCUUAAUGAAGGGAACGGGGUGAACUGAAACAUCUAAGUAGCCCUAGGAAGAGAAAGAAAAAUCGAUUUCCUGAGUAGCGGCGAGCGAAAGGGAAAGAGGCCAAACCAAAUUGUUUACAGUUUGGGGUUGUGGACCACCGACAUUGACGAAGUUAUGCGAGCCGAAUAGGGUUGGAAAGCUCAAGCAGAGAAGGUAAUACUCCUGUAGGCGAAGCAGAAAGCGCAUAGGUGGCACCAGAGUAGGACCGGACACGUGUAACCCGGUCUGAAGCAGGAGGGACCACCCUCCAAGCCUAAAUACUACCCAGUGACCGAUAGCGAAUAGUACCGUGAGGGAAAGGUGAAAAGAACCCCGGGAGGGGAGUGAAAUAGAAUCUGAAACCUGAUGCUUACAAGCAUAGGGAGCGCAAGUGACCUAGUACUUUUUGUAGAACGGGCCAACGAGUUAUGGUAUGUAGCGAGGUUAAGUUGCUGGAGCAACGGAGCCGUAGAGAAAUCGAGUCUGAAUAGGGCGAGAGUUACAUGCUGUAGACCCGAAACCGGGUGACCUAUCCAUGAGCAGGUUGAAGUAACCGUAAAAGGUUAUGGAGGACCGAACCUAUAUCUGUUGAAAAAGGUUAGGAUGACUUGUGGAUAGCGGUGAAAUUCCAAUCGAACUCGGAUAUAGCUGGUUCUCCUCGAAAUAGCUUUAGGGCUAGCCUCAAGGUAAAGAUACACGGGGGUAGAGCACUGACUGUUCGCGGGGCCUUCACCGGUUACCAACAACUAUCAAACUCCGAAUACCGUGCUAUCAUACUUGGGAGUCAGACUAUGAGAGAUAAGUUCCAUGGUCGAAAGGGAAACAGCCCAGAUCAACAGCUAAGGUCCCAAAGAGUAAGUUAAGUGGAAAAGGAUGUGGGAUUGCACAAACAGCUAGGAUGUUGGCUUAGAAGCAGCCAUACAUUUAAAGAGUGCGUAAUAGCUCACUAGUCGAGUGAUCCUGCGCCGAAGAUAAACGGGGCUCAAACUUACCACCGAAGCUUUGGAAUUAGUAUAACUAAUUGGUAGAGGAGCAUUCUAUACAGGUAGAAGGAGGCGCGUAAGCAAAUCUGGACGGUAUAGAAGAGAGAAUGUUGGCAUGAGUAGCGUAAGGCGGGUGAGAAUCCCGUCCGCCGAAAAUCUAAGGUUUCCUGAGGAAGGUUCGUCCUCUCAGGGUAAGUCGGGACCUAAGCCGAGAGCGAACGCUGUAGGCGAUGGACAACAGGUUGAUAUUCCUGUACCACCAAGGAUUGUUUGAAUGAAGUGGGGACACAGAAGGAUAGAUUGAGCACGCCGUUGGUUGAGCGUGUCCAAGCAGCAAGGCUUGAAAGUAGGCAAAUCCGCUUUCUACAAGGCUGAGCUGUGAUGGGGUGGUCGAAUGACCGGUAGCAAUCGAUUUCACGCUGUCAAGAAAAGCCGCUAAUGAGAUCCAAGGUGCCCGUACCGCAAACCGACACAGGUAGAUGAGGAGAGAAUCCUAAGGUGAGCGAGAGAACUAUUGUUAAGGAACUCGGCAAAAUAACCCCGUAACUUCGGGAGAAGGGGUGCCUGCUUCGGCAGGCCGCAGUGAAGAGGUCCAGGCAACUGUUUACCAAAAACACAGGUCUCUGCUAAAGCGAAAGCUGAUGUAUAGGGGCUGACGCCUGCCCGGUGCUGGAAGGUUAAGGGGAAGUGUUAGGGCAACCGAAGCACAGAACUUAAGCCCCAGUAAACGGCGGCCGUAACUAUAACGGUCCUAAGGUAGCGAAAUUCCUUGUCGGGU